RNAcentral lists this ribosomal RNA (497 nucleotides) under uncultured bacterium. RNAcentral's name for it is "partial 16S ribosomal RNA". It matches the Rfam family "Bacterial small subunit ribosomal RNA", at positions 28 to 507 of the family's 1533-position model. The record is from RNAcentral.
GACGAACGCUGGCGGCGUGCCUAAUACAUGCAAGUAGAACGCUGAAACUUGGUUCUUGCACCGAGCGGGUGAGUUGCGAACGGGUGAGUCACGCGUAGGUAACCUGCCUGGUAGCGGGGGAUAACUAUUGGAAACGAUAGCUAAUACCGCAUAAGAUUAGAUUUUGCAUGACAUUUGCUUAAAAGGUGCAAUUGCACCACUACCAGGUGGACCUGCGUUGUAUUAGCUAGUUGGUGGGGUAACGGCUCACCAAGGCGAGGAUACAUAGCCGAACUGAGAGGGUGGGCGGCCACACUGGGAGGGAGACACGGCCCAGAGGGCCACGGGAGGGAGCAGGAGGGAAUCGUCGGCAAUGGACGGAAGUCUGACCGAGAAGCGCGGAGUGAGUGAAGAAGGUUGUCGGAUCGGAAAGAUCGGUUGUAAGAGAAGAACGAGGGUGAGAGUGGAAAGAUCACAGUGUGACGGUAUCUGAUCAGAAAGCGACGGCUAACUACGUG